This 194-nucleotide ribosomal RNA is filed under the name uncultured Bacillus sp. Its description in RNAcentral is "partial 16S ribosomal RNA". It matches the Rfam family "Bacterial small subunit ribosomal RNA", at positions 338 to 524 of the family's 1533-position model. Lineage: Bacteria; Bacillati; Bacillota; Bacilli; Caryophanales; Bacillaceae. The record is from RNAcentral.
CCUACGGGAGGCAGCAGUAGGGAAUCUUCCGCAAUGGACGAAAGUCUGACGGAGCAACGCCGCGUGAGUGAUGAAGGCUUUCGGGUCGUUAAACUCUGUUGUAAGGGAAGAACAAGUACAGUAGUAACUGGCUGUACCUUGACGGUACCUUAUUAGAAAGCCACGGCUAACUACGUGCCAGCAGCCGCGGUAAU